GUGGAUGUAGCACAGUGGUAGAGCACUUGCCUAGCCUGUGUGAGGCACUGGGUUAGAUUCUCAGCACCACA
Molecule: transfer RNA, 71 nt
Filed under: Marmota monax (woodchuck)
Lineage: Eukaryota; Metazoa; Chordata; Mammalia; Rodentia; Sciuridae
Description: tRNA.Ala
Source: RNAcentral